UAUGUACGUUAUGUCAAAGUUACAUGUAUUGUGACGUCGUCAGCGAAAAUCAGUCUUGUGUACGCUGACGUUUAUGUCGGGAAAUCGCGAGAUAAAAAUCUUGUACGAAAAUGCGCUGGAUAUUUCGUCUUUUUCAUACAAUUUCUCGGCUCAUAAUUUAUGACAUGCUUUGAAAAUUUCCACAAUAUAGCAUGAAAAUGUCCUUUAAACACUGGCACAAUUGGUGGUUUGUAAUCCGCUUAUUUAAUUCAAAUUAUUCCCCUUGAAAGACACUGUUUCGUUUGAGCAGUUCACAGGUAGCGCAACCUGUCUCGUAGUGUUCAUUUUCAAUGGCUAUUAAACGCUGUAAAUCAAAAUGUCAUCUUGUACUAAUGGAUGUCUUCAAUCGAAGAAGGUUCGGAUAUGAUAUUUCCACAUGCUUAAAGUAGGUAAGUGAAAGAUAUAUGUGUAUUUUGGCUUUGUGAUUAAUUUUCGCGACUCGCAAGCUUGACCCGGAAGUAAACUGUACGAUAGCAACUGAAUUGUUUACAUGAAAUGGUGGAAUGAUUUAAAUUUGACUUUAAAAUAUCAUGUCUCAAUUUAUUAACACCAACACUAUUCCAUGUGAAAUUUCACAAGACCAGGAUACUUCGUUUUUAAAUUUAAAUGAUUUGGGCAAAUGGCUUUACUUUCAGGGCAAGUAGAUUUUCUAAGUACUUGCCCAGCAGGGCAAGUUGGUUUUUCGGUUAAUGUUGAGCCCUGAUCUGGUAUUUGAAUUAAUUUAAUAUCAUUGCUAUCAACACUGAAUCAGUCUAAAUGUAAUCAACUACCAAUUGAUAAUUUACUUUUUAUUGUUGUGUGUGUGUGUGCGUGUUUGUGUGCGUGUGUGGUCUGGAGGACAUCAUUCUCGUCUAAUAUCAAUCUUUUAUGAUAAGACAAUAACCAUGCAUUAUCUAAAUGUUUCAAACCACCUAUUAAUUAAUUCGAAAAAAACAAACUAUUUGGGUAUCUCUAGUAAGUUAUUACGGUUUAUUUAUUAUCUUCUGUUUCACAGGAAAGCAGGUGUUUUACCUCGCAGACGAAGGCCAGUCACAUGGUAAAGGUGCAAAUGCUGUGUUCAGCCAGUUUCACCACUACCUCAACACAUACGGUCUUGGCAAACAGCAUGCUCACUUUCAGUGUGACAACUGUUGCGGCCAAAAUAAAAACAACAUAGUCAUCUGGUACCUUCUGUGGAGAGUUCUUGUAGGUUUACACAAAAUCAUCACACUAAGCUUUAUGUUGAUAAGACAUACAAAGUUUACACCAGAUUGGCACUUUGGCAUCUGGAAGUCAAAGUGGAGAAACUUCAAUGCAGAAAUGUUGUCUGAUGUCGCUGCGUCUGUGGGGUUAUCGUCAAGUACGGGCCACAACAUCCCCCAGCUUGUAGGGGACUCUUCCAAUCCUGUUGUUAUCUAAGACAGGAAGGAUUACCUUACGACAUUGUUUCACCACAUAAAGAAUGUCACCAAAUUUCAUCAAUUUCCAUGUGUCAGCGGAGCAUCCCGGUGUUGUGGAAUGCAGGAAAUUUAGUGACUCACCAGUAGUCAGAAUCACUCUCAGGAAGGUCUCAAAAGUGAAUGGUAAUGUGAGCUGUGACAACCUGCCAUAAAAAAUGUUUGCGAAAGGGCUUGAUCUGGACCAUCAGUGGUAUUUAUUUGAAAACAUUCGUGAAUUCUGUCACAUAGAUGAACCAAAAACUUGACAUGUCCGAAACGCACUACUGGUGAGCAACAAAAAACAGACUGUGCCCCCCAAAAAAGAAGAUGCAUUAAGAUGCGCAUCUGAUCUUCUCUGAUGGUGCCACAACAAUUUCAUACAUCAUGUAUCAGUAUUUAUUUUUGCCAAGGUAUUGGGUGAUAAAUUUUCCACCAAACAAUGCAAAAAAUCCUCUAUUCCUAGGAAAGCUAAAACAUGUAUACGUUUGCUAAAUGAGUCAAUUGAUACAGGUUUUGAAAUGUUCAAUGCAUCUACAUGUACAUUGUACAUCGCUGCAAUCACGCAUGAUUAUUAUGCGACGGGUGGUGAAAGAAUAAGAAUAAAGAAUGAGGGACAUUAAAGUAAGAAGAGCUUGAUAGUUAAAAGACAGAAGGAAAGUAAAGCAGAACACCAGCUACGUUUCGCCCUUCUCCCUCAUGCCUCUCAUGCAAACGUUUGUUGAUCUAAUUGCACAAGCUUGUUUUCAAGUUUUUUAUAUCUCAUAUUUACAAAACAAAAAUCAUUUUUUCCAUGUAACCAUGCAAUUGUUUUCACCUUAUGGACACAGACUGCCUUUCCGAAAAUCUGGGAAAAAAUCAGUGUGAAUAUUGUAUUUAUUUAUGUUUUACAAUGAAAAUCCUAUAUUUUUAUUUGUUUGCUACAUUGUUUCCAUAGUAACAAAAACAAACAAUUUUUAGCUCAUCUAUUUUUUGAAAAAAAAUUAUGAGCUAUUGUCAUCACCUUGGCGUCGGCGUCGGCGUCGGCGUCGGCGUUGGCGUUGGCGUCGGCGUCCGGUUAAGUUUUGCGUUUAGGUCCACUUUUCUCAGAAAGUGUCAAUGCUAUUGCAUUCAAACUUGGUACACUUACUUACUAUCAUGAGGGGACUGGGCAGGCAAAGUUAGAUAACUCUGGCGUGCAUUUUGACACAAUUAUGUGCCCUUUUUAUACUUAAAAAAUUGAAAAUUUUGGUUAAGUUUUGCGUUUAGUUCCACUUUUCUCAGUGAGUAUCAAUGCUAUUGCAUUCAAACUUGGUACACUUACUUACUAUCAUGAGGGGACUGGGCAGGCAAAGUUAGAUAACUCUGGCAUGCAUUUUGACAGAAUUAUGUGCCCUUUUUAUACUUAGAAAAUUGACAAUUUUGGUUAAGUUUUGUGUUUAGGUCCAUUUUAUUCCUUAAGCAUCAAAGCUAUUGCUUUCAUUCUUGCAACACUUACUAACUAUCAUAAGGGGACUGUGCAGGCAAAGUAAUGUAACUCUGACUGGCAUUUUGACAGAAUUAUGUGCCCUUUUUAUACUUAGAAAAUUGAAAAUUUGAUUAAGUUUUGUGUUUAGGUCCACUUUAUUCCUACAGUAUCAAAGCUAUUGCUUUCAUACUUGCAAGAUUUAUGAACUAUCAUAAGGGGACGGUGCAGGCAAAGUUAUGUAGCUCUGACUGGCAUUUGGACGGAAUUAUGGGCCCUUUAUACUUAGAAAAUUUAAAAUUUGGUUAAGAUUUAUGUUUUGGUCCACUUUACCCCUAAAGUAUCAUAGAUAUUGCUUUCAUACUUGGAACACUCACAAACUAUCAUAAGGGUACAGUAAAAGGACAAGUUGCAUAACUCUGGUUGUCAUUGUUAUGGAAUUAUGGCCCUUUUUUGACUUAGUAACUUUUAAUAUAUGGUUAAAUUUUGUGUUUCGAUCCACUCGAAGUAUCAAGGCUAUUGCUUUCAAACUUCAAAUACUUACAUGCUAUCAUGAGGUUACUGUACCUGGCAACUUGAAUUUUACUUUGACCUUUGAAUGACCUUGACUCUCAAGGUCAAAUUAUUAAAUUUUGCUAAAAUUGCCAUAACUUCUUUAUUUAUGAUUAGAUUUGAUUGAUACUUUGAUGAAACUACUCUUACCUGACAUACCACAAUAGACUUCACCCAAACCAUCCCCCGUGCCCUCCCCCCCUCCCC
Molecule: long non-coding RNA, 3657 nt
Organism: Dreissena polymorpha
Lineage: Eukaryota; Metazoa; Mollusca; Bivalvia; Myida; Dreissenidae
Exons: 3
Source: RefSeq, a predicted model, not a curated record